GUAUUAGGGAAGGCAAAUGGUGCGCCACCAGCUUCUGCAGCUGGUUCUAGUGGGUUCGAUUCCCACCCCGAAAUU
This 75-nucleotide transfer RNA is filed under the name Pseudobacillus badius. RNAcentral's name for it is "Bacillus badius tRNA-Gln". Lineage: Bacteria; Bacillati; Bacillota; Bacilli; Caryophanales; Bacillaceae. The record is from RNAcentral.